This 292-nucleotide ribosomal RNA is filed under the name uncultured bacterium. Its description in RNAcentral is "partial 16S ribosomal RNA". It matches the Rfam family "Bacterial small subunit ribosomal RNA", at positions 505 to 796 of the family's 1533-position model. The record is from RNAcentral.
GUGUCAGCAGCCGCGGUAAUACGUAGGCAGCGAGCGUUGUUCGGAGUUACUGGGCGUAAAGGGUGUGUAGGCGGCCCCCUAAGUUUGGUGUGAAAUCUCCCGGCUCAACCGGGAGGGUGCGCCGAAAACUGGAGGGCUAGAGUGCGGGAUGGGAGAGUGGAAUUCCUGGUGUAGCGGUGAAAUGCGUAGAUAUCAGGAGGAACACCGGUGGUGCAGACGGCUCUCUGGACCGUAACUGACGCUGAGACACGAAAGCGUGGGUAGCAAACAGGAUUAGAUACCCGAGUAGUCC